RNAcentral lists this ribosomal RNA (319 nucleotides) under Escherichia coli. Its description in RNAcentral is "partial 23S ribosomal RNA". It matches the Rfam family "Bacterial large subunit ribosomal RNA", at positions 306 to 636 of the family's 2925-position model. The record is from RNAcentral. Lineage: Bacteria; Pseudomonadati; Pseudomonadota; Gammaproteobacteria; Enterobacterales; Enterobacteriaceae.
AGCCCUAAAGACUUAAUAAGGAUAAUAGAAUAACCUGGAAAGGUUAACCGUAGAGGGUGAUAGUCCCGUAAAUGAAAUUUUUAUUAAGUUGAUAACGAGUAAGGCGGAACACGAGAAAUUCUGUCCGAAUAUGGGAGGACCAUCUUCCAAGGCUAAAUACUCCUCAAAGACCGAUAGUGAACUAGUACUGUGAAGGAAAGGUGAAAAGCAUUUCGAAUAGAAAGUUGAAAUAGAACCUGAAACCGUACGCCUACAAGCGGUCGGAGCACGUAAGUGUGACGGCGUGCCUUUUGCAUAAUGAGCCUACGAGUUAAUGUUG